RNAcentral lists this ribosomal RNA (518 nucleotides) under uncultured bacterium. Its description in RNAcentral is "bacterial SSU rRNA". It matches the Rfam family "Bacterial small subunit ribosomal RNA", at positions 992 to 1509 of the family's 1533-position model. The record is from RNAcentral.
AGAACUUAGCAGAGAUGCUUUGGUGCCUUCGGGGAACUCUGAGACAGGUGCUGCAUGGCUGUCGUCAGCUCGUGUUGUGAAAUGUUGGGUUAAGUCCCGCAACGAGCGCAACCCUUAUCCUUUGUUGCCAGCGGUCCGGCCGGGAACUCAAAGGAGACUGCCAGUGAUAAACUGGAGGAAGGUGGGGAUGACGUCAAGUCAUCAUGGCCCUUACGAGUAGGGCUACACACGUGCUACAAUGGCGCAUACAAAGAGAAGCGACCUCGCGAGAGCAAGCGGACCUCAUAAAGUGCGUCGUAGUCCGGAUUGGAGUCUGCAACUCGACUCCAUGAAGUCGGAAUCGCUAGUAAUCGUAGAUCAGAAUGCUACGGUGAAUACGUUCCCGGGCCUUGUACACACCGCCCGUCACACCAUGGGAGUGGGUUGCAAAAGAAGUAGGUAGCUUAACCUUCGGGAGGGCGCUUACCACUUUGUGAUUCAUGACUGGGGUGAAGUCGUAACAAGGUAGGCGUAGCGAG